This 429-nucleotide ribosomal RNA is filed under the name Bacillota bacterium. RNAcentral describes it as "Firmicutes bacterium partial 16S ribosomal RNA". It matches the Rfam family "Bacterial small subunit ribosomal RNA", at positions 355 to 776 of the family's 1533-position model. The record is from RNAcentral. Lineage: Bacteria; Bacillati; Bacillota.
UAGGGAAUCUUUGGCAAUGGACGGAAGUCUGACCGAGCAACGCCGCGUGAGUGAAGAAGGUUUUCGGAUCGUAAAGCUCUUUUGUUAGAGAAGAACGUUGGUAGGAGCGGAAAAUCUACCAAGUGACGGUAACUAACCAGAAAGGGACGGCUAACUACGUGCCAGCAGCCGCGGUAAUACGUAGGUCCCGAGCGUUGUCCGGAUUUAUUGGGCGUAAAGCGAGCGCAGGCGGUUCUUUAAGUCUGAAGUUAAAGGCAGUGGCUUAACCAUUGUACGCUUUGGAAACUGGAGGACUUGAGUGCAGAAGGGGAGAGUGGAAUUCCAUGUGUAGCGGUGAAAUGCGUAGAUAUAUGGAGGAACACCGGUGGCGAAAGCGGCUCUCUGGUCUGUAACUGACGCUGAGGCUCGAAAGCGUGGGGAGCAAACAGG